RNAcentral lists this ribosomal RNA (253 nucleotides) under uncultured bacterium. RNAcentral describes it as "partial 16S ribosomal RNA". It matches the Rfam family "Bacterial small subunit ribosomal RNA", at positions 524 to 776 of the family's 1533-position model. The record is from RNAcentral.
UACGUAGGGGGCAAGCGUUGUCCGGAAUCAUUGGGCGUAAAGCGCGCGUAGGCGGCCCGGUAAGUCCGCUGUAAAAGUCCAGGGCUCAACCCUGGAAAGCCGGUGGAUACUGUCGGGCUAGAGUCCGGAAGAGGAGAAUGGAAUUCCUGGUGUAGCGGUGAAAUGCGCAGAUAUCAGGAAGAACACCCGUGGCGAAGGCGGUUCUCUGGGACGGUACUGACGCUGAGACGCGAAAGCGUGGGGAGCGAACAGG